Molecule: ribosomal RNA, 240 nt
Filed under: uncultured bacterium
Lineage: Bacteria
Description: partial 16S ribosomal RNA
Rfam family: Bacterial small subunit ribosomal RNA
Source: RNAcentral
CGUGAGCAACCUGCCUGUUAGAGGGGAAUAACAGUGAGAAAUCAUUGCUAAUACCGCAUAUGCCAUAGGUACCACAUGGUACUAGUGGGAAAGGAGCAAUCCGCUAACAGAUGGGCUCGCGUCUGAUUAGAUAGUUGGUGGGGUAACGGCCUACCAAGUCAACGAUCAGUAGCCGGACUGAGAGGUUGAACGGCCACAUUGGGACUGAGAUACGGCCCAGACUCCUACGGGAGGCAGCAG